RNAcentral lists this long non-coding RNA (1941 nucleotides) under Sus scrofa (pig). RNAcentral's name for it is "lncRNA (multiple genes)". Lineage: Eukaryota; Metazoa; Chordata; Mammalia; Artiodactyla; Suidae. The record is from RNAcentral.
AUCUGAGUUAAAUGCUCUCCUAACACCCUACCCUUUCCCCUUUUUUAAAGUCAUCACAUUGAACUGCAGUUGCGUCUUUAUCAUGUGCAUCUCCCACUGAACUUUGAUCUGUGGCAGCUAGCCCGUGCCUGCCUUGUGUGUGUUUGUAUAUACACCACUCGGCCCUGAUGCCAGGAGGCAAACAGUACUUGUGGGUGUGCCCAGUGAAUAAAAGCCACUUUGCUUCCUAAGAACUUGCAGUGACUCCCCAGUGUUUACCAGAUCAGACCCAGACUCUUCCUUUCAGUUUUCAACUACGUGGAUUUUUCUCGUACACAAGCUUUCAGAUCUCCUUUUGGCCCUCAUCUGGUUCUUGCAUCUUCGUGCUGUGGGUUGCUUGCCAUGCCUGCCCAUCUGUGGUGGCUUGUCUCCAAAGAUGGCUGCCAUCAGUUUCUUCUCCUCAGUGUACACCUGCCACUCCCCCACUGAGAGCUGGAGUCUGUUGCUCUGCCCCCGUGAACCUGGGCGGGCCUGUGACUAAUUUCACUAAUAGACUAUGGUGGCAGUGACACUGCAGGGAGUUCCCAUUGUGGCACAGCAGAAAAGAAUCUGACUAGGAACCAUGAAGUUGCGGGUUUGAUCCCUGACCUUGCUCAAUGGGUUAAGGAUCUGGUGUUGCCGUGAGCUGUGGUGUAGGUCGCAGAUGUGGCUUAGAUUCCGCAUUGCUGUGGCUGUGGCAUAGGCUGGCAGCUGUAGCUCCGAAUGGACUCCUAGCCUAGGAACCUCCAUGUGCCACAGGCGUGGCGCUAAAAAGCAAAAAAAAAGAAAGUCCAGGCAAACAAGCUAUGUGGAGGAAGCUAAGGCACUGGCAUGUGAGUGAGAAGCCAUCUUAGACAACUAGCCCAGCAGAGCCUUGAGGGCCCCCCAGUCUCAGCUGCUUCCUGACUAACCACAUGAGCCAUCUCAGGCAGGACCAUUCAGUUGAGUACAGUCAGCUACAGAACCAAGAGAUAACAAUAGUAGUUUUAAGCCACUAAGUUUUGGGGUGGUUUGCUCUAUAGCAAUACAUACCCUAAAUACCACCCUUUAAGGCCUCAAACCUAGAUUUCCUGUAGUCUAGUUGACAUCUGUCCAUCCCUUCUCUAAUUCCCAUAGAACUUCUCAGUUCCACACAUUUUGUUAUUCAACUGUACGUACUAUUUUCCACUUCCUGUGUGCUAAUCUGGCCUCCAUGACCAAUUCUAUGACCUUUGAAGAUACCAAUAAUGGAAAUACGACUUUUGCAGUCCUGUCAGCAAGUCCCAAUACUGGACAAAAUCGUAAUUAAUAAGCCAAAGCAUUCUUGGUCCUUUGAGCUCUCCGCCAACUGUAUCAGUUGCGACUCUUUUCGCUAUCUUUUGGAGCAUUCUUUUAAGUCUUGGUUAUGGCUGGAUGGCUGAUGUGUGGCUGCAGGCAGCCCUUGCAUCCUUCCACCUGGAGACAGUCUGUGAUAGCACAGUGGUUCUCCAAGUCUGGUCCCAGAUCAGCAGCAUCACCAUCGCCUGGGAACCUGCUAGAAAUUCGGAUUCUUGGGCCUACCCCAGAACCUAUGAAAUUUAAAGUUCUGGGGGUAGGGCCCAGCACUCUGUGUUUUAACAAGAUUUCCAGAUAAUUCUGAUGCAUGCUGAAGUAUGAGCAUCCCUUUUGUAUUGGAAAGAAUUCUGGUUUUAAGGUCUAGGAUUCUUUCAUUAAAUGACAUUUACUAAAUGUGCAUCUGCUUGUGCCAGGUGUUGUGUCAGAGGCUGGGAUACUAGGAUGGCUACAGGUUCAUCUCUGCCCUUGUGGGUUGAGGAAGAGUGGCUGCAAUAUUUACAUACAUAUAAAUGUGAUCUACCGCAAAUUACCUGUGCAAGACCUGAGCACAGAACAAGACAGUCCCAAUUUUUACCUUCACUUUUCUAUUUAAGAAUCAGAUGCCAAAAC